RNAcentral lists this ribosomal RNA (254 nucleotides) under uncultured bacterium. RNAcentral describes it as "partial 16S ribosomal RNA". It matches the Rfam family "Bacterial small subunit ribosomal RNA", at positions 524 to 776 of the family's 1533-position model. The record is from RNAcentral.
CACGUAGGGGGCGAGCGUUGUCCGGAUUUAUUGGGCGUAAAGAGCUCGUAGGCGGUUUCGUAAGUCGGAUGUGAAAACUCCAGGCUCAACUUGGAGACGCCAUUCGAUACUGCGAUGACUUGAGUCCGGUAGGGGAGUGUGGAAUUCCUGGUGUAGCGGUGAAAUGCGCAGAUAUCAGGAAGAACACCGGUGGCGAAGGCGCUCUGCUGGACCUUAACUGACACUGAGGGACGAAAGCUAGGGGAGCGAAUGGG